CUGCAUUCUUCUGACCACAAGAGGAAGAGAUGGGAUCUUACUAUGUUGCCCAGGAUAUACUCAAACUCUUGGCUUCAAGUGAUACUCCUGCCUCGGCCUCCCAAAUUGCUGGGAUUACAGGUGGGAGCAAAGCUUGGUCAACCUGAUAGGCCUCUUCCAGGCAGGGACAGGAGAAGGGACGGCACAGCAGCUCUGAGUCAGGACUCCUUUCGGUAAGGCGUGGACAACA
Long non-coding RNA from Pongo pygmaeus (Bornean orangutan), 229 nucleotides. RefSeq lists it as uncharacterized. The record is from RefSeq and is a predicted model, not a curated record. The transcript is spliced from 3 exons. NCBI's taxonomy places the organism in Eukaryota, Metazoa, Chordata, Mammalia, Primates, Hominidae.